Molecule: ribosomal RNA, 852 nt
Filed under: Taphrina communis
Lineage: Eukaryota; Fungi; Ascomycota; Taphrinomycetes; Taphrinales; Taphrinaceae
Description: partial small subunit ribosomal RNA
Rfam family: Bacterial small subunit ribosomal RNA
Source: RNAcentral
AAGGGUCCGUAAAACGGUAAAUUAAGCGAAUACCUCACCUAUUCGGGGAGGUAGUAUAAUCGAACUGAUUUACUAGAGUCUUAUAGAAGAACAGAGGAAUUGCAAGAGUAAGGAUGAAAUCUAUUGAUACUUGUAGGACCGCCAAAGGCGAAGGCAUCGUUCUAGGUAAAGACUGACGUUGAGGGACGUAGGCGUUGGGAGCGAAAAGGAUUAGAUACCCCUGUAGUCAACGCUGUAAACGAUGAGUGCUUAAGAUUAGUAAUAAUUAUUAACAAGUUAUUAGGCUUUAAUGCCGUUAACUAUUAAAAAAAAAAAAUUAGUCUCGAAAUGAAGAUGUUAAGCACUUCACCUGGGGAGUACUGUCGCAAGGCUGAAACCCAAAACAUUAGACGGUCACGGAAACCAGCAGUGAAGCAUGUUAUUUAAUACGAUGAUCCGCGUACAACCUUACCACUUCUUGAAUGUCCUUUUCUGUAAAAAGAAAAGGCCUAUUUAAUUAAAAAACUUUAAUUAAAUUUGGAUAAAUACAACAGGCGUUGCAUGGCUGUCUUCAGUUCGUGUCGUGAGAUGUCAGGUUCAUUCCGGUCAACGAAUGAAACCCUUCUUUCUUAAUUUUGCUCUUUUUUUUUAUUAAUUUAAAUUAAAUUUAUUAAGAUGACCCUUGGAAAACGAGGAUAUAAUGGGGAUUAAGACAAGUCGUCAUGGCCUUUAUGAAGUGGGCUAUAGACGUGCCACAAAAGCUUUUACAAUAGGAUGCUAAGACGUGAGUCAGCGCUAAACCUUAAAAAAAGCUAUGUUCGGAUUGUAGUCUGCAACUCGACUACAUGAAGCAGGAAUUGCUAGUAAUCGUAA